Molecule: long non-coding RNA, 479 nt
Organism: Gallus gallus (chicken)
Lineage: Eukaryota; Metazoa; Chordata; Aves; Galliformes; Phasianidae
Source: Ensembl
CUGAACUACACUUAAGGAUGUAGGUAGACGACAACUUCUAGGUGAAUCUGAAUCAUCUGGACAAAUGAGGUUGACUGACUGAGCAGCAAUGGCACAAGAAGCAGCCCACCCAGUGGUGUGAGGUACAAAGAAGCAUAGAAUCCAUACACAUCUUCUUCAGUUCUUCUGAUCAAGAAAGCUUUCAUAUAUGAGAAUAAUAAGUAUUAAAAACAAGCCUAAGACAACAACAAAGGAAUGUCUAUACUUAUAAAAGCCAUCAAAUCCUCAAAAUUGAGGUGACCCUCAUGUCUAGCAAAUACUGUUGUUAUGAUUAGGUUUUCCAGCAAUACUAGGAAGAAAAUAUACAACUAGUAGGCAAUGAUCAUGGAGGUUUUCCAACACAUAUAUCCUCUGGUUGUGGUUAAAUGAUCAUUUUUAUGUUUAUUUAUUAUUGAUUUAUAUUAUUUAUUGGAAAAUGACAUUAAAUGGGAUUGUGAGAA